GACGAACGCUGGCGGCGUGCUUAACACAUGCAAGUCGAACGGAAAGGCCCUGCUUUUGUGGGGUGCUCGAGUGGCGAACGGGUGAGUAACACGUGAGUAACCUGCCCUUGACUUUGGGAUAACUUCAGGAAACUGGGGCUAAUACCGGAUAGGAGCUCCUGCUGCAUGGUGGGGGUUGGAAAGUUUCGGCGGUUGGGGAUGGACUCGCGGCUUAUCAGCUUGUUUGUGGGGUAGUGGCUUACCAAGGCUUUGACGGGUAGCCGGCCUGAGAGGGUGACCGGCGACAUUGGGACUGAGAUACGGCCCAGACGGCUACGGGAGGCAGCAGUGGGGAAUAUUGCACAAUGGGCGGAAGCCUGAUGCAGCAACGCCGCGUGCGGGAUGACGGCCUUCGGGUUGUAAACCGCUUUCGCCUGUGACGAAGCGUGAGUGACGGUAAUGGGUAAAGAAGCACCGGCUAACUACGUG
RNAcentral lists this ribosomal RNA (468 nucleotides) under uncultured bacterium. RNAcentral describes it as "partial 16S ribosomal RNA". It matches the Rfam family "Bacterial small subunit ribosomal RNA", at positions 28 to 507 of the family's 1533-position model. The record is from RNAcentral.